GACGAACGCUGGCGGCGUGCUUAACACAUGCAAGUCGAGCGGUAAGGCCCUUUCGGGGGUACGACGAGCGGCGAACGGGUGAGUAACACGUGGGUGACCUGCCCUCAGCUCUGGGAUAAGCCUGGGAAACCGGGUCUAAUACCGGAUAUGACUCCAUGACGCAUGUUGUGGGGUGGAAAGCCUUGUGCGGCUGAGGAUGGGCCCGCGGCGGAUUAGCUUGUUGGUGAGGAAUGGCUCACCAAGGCAUCGAUCCGUAGCCGGCCUGAGAGGGCGGUCGGCCACACUGACACUGACAUACGGGUCAGACUCCUACGGGAGGCAGCAGUCGGGAAUUUUGGGCAAUGGGCGCAAGCCUGACCCAGCAACGCCGCGUGAAGGA
RNAcentral lists this ribosomal RNA (379 nucleotides) under uncultured bacterium. RNAcentral's name for it is "bacterial SSU rRNA". It matches the Rfam family "Bacterial small subunit ribosomal RNA", at positions 28 to 408 of the family's 1533-position model. The record is from RNAcentral.